This 266-nucleotide ribosomal RNA is filed under the name uncultured bacterium. Its description in RNAcentral is "partial 16S ribosomal RNA". It matches the Rfam family "Bacterial small subunit ribosomal RNA", at positions 88 to 354 of the family's 1533-position model. The record is from RNAcentral.
CAUUCGAGUGGCGGACGGGUGAGUAACGCGUGGGUAACCUGCCUUACACAGGGGGAUAACACCUGGAAACAGGUGCUAAUACCGCAUAAGCGCACAGGGCCGCAUGGCCCGGUGUGAAAAACUCCGGUGGUGUAAGAUGGACCCGCGUCUGAUUAGCUUGUUGGCGGGGUAACGGCCCACCAAGGCGACGAUCAGUAGCCGGCCUGAGAGGGUGGACGGCCACAUUGGGACUGAGACACGGCCCAAACUCCUACGGAAGGCAGCAG